This 85-nucleotide transfer RNA is filed under the name Anopheles darlingi. RNAcentral describes it as "tRNA ADAC010737". Lineage: Eukaryota; Metazoa; Arthropoda; Insecta; Diptera; Culicidae. The record is from RNAcentral.
GCUCCAGUGGCGCAAUUGGUUAGCGCACGGUACAUAUACGAUAGUAACGAUGCUGUUAUUGUGAGUUAGGGACUCACCUGGAGCA